GGUUAAGCGACUAAGCGUACACGGUGGAUGCCCUGGCAGUCAGAGGCGAUGAAGGACGUGCUAAUCUGCGAUAAGCGUCGGUGAGGUGAUAUGAACCGUUAUAACCGGCGAUUUCCGAAUGGGGAAACCCAGUGUGAUUCGUCACACUAUCAUUAACUGAAUCCAUAGGUUAAUGAGGCGAACCGGGGGAACUGAAACAUCUAAGUACCCCGAGGAAAAGAAAUCAACCGAGAUUCCCCCAGUAGCGGCGAGCGAACGGGGAGGAGCCCAGAGCCUGAAUCAGUGUGUGUGUUAGUGGAAGCGUCUGGAAAGGCGCGCGAUACAGGGUGACAGCCCCGUACACAAAAAUGCACAUACUGUGAGCUCGAUGAGUAGGGCGGGACACGUGGUAUCCUGUCUGAAUAUGGGGGGACCAUCCUCCAAGGCUAAAUACUCCUGACUGACCGAUAGUGAACCAGUACCGUGAGGGAAAGGCGAAAAGAACCCCGGCGAGGGGAGUGAAAAAGAACCUGAAACCGUGUACGUACAAGCAGUGGGAGCACAGAGCAAUCUGUGUGACUGCGUACCUUUUGUAUAAUGGGUCAGCGACUUAUAUUCUGUAGCAAGGUUAACCGAAUAGGGGAGCCGAAGGGAAACCGAGUCUUAACUGGGCGUUAAGUUGCAGGGUAUAGACCCGAAACCCGGUGAUCUAGCCAUGGGCAGGUUGAAGGUUGGGUAACACUAACUGGAGGACCGAACCGACUAAUGUUGAAAAAUUAGCGGAUGACUUGUGGCUGGGGGUGAAAGGCCAAUCAAACCGGGAGAUAGCUGGUUCUCCCCGAAAGCUAUUUAGGUAGCGCCUCGUGAAUUCAUCUCCGGGGGUAGAGCACUGUUUCGGCAAGGGGGUCAUCCCGACUUACCAACCCGAUGCAAACUGCGAAUACCGGAGAAUGUUAUCACGGGAGACACACGGCGGGUGCUAACGUCCGUCGUGAAGAGGGAAACAACCCAGACCGCCAGCUAAGGUCCCAAAGUCAUGGUUAAGUGGGAAACGAUGUGGGAAGGCCCAGACAGCCAGGAUGUUGGCUUAGAAGCAGCCAUCAUUUAAAGAAAGCGUAAUAGCUCACUGGUCGAGUCGGCCUGCGCGGAAGAUGUAACGGGGCUAAACCAUGCACCGAAGCUGCGGCAGCGACGCUUAUGCGUUGUUGGGUAGGGGAGCGUUCUGUAAGCCUGUGAAGGUGUGCUGUGAGGCAUGCUGGAGGUAUCAGAAGUGCGAAUGCUGACAUAAGUAACGAUAAAGCGGGUGAAAAGCCCGCUCGCCGGAAGACCAAGGGUUCCUGUCCAACGUUAAUCGGGGCAGGGUGAGUCGACCCCUAAGGCGAGGCCGAAAGGCGUAGUCGAUGGGAAACAGGUUAAUAUUCCUGUACUUGGUGUUACUGCGAAGGGGGGACGGAGAAGGCUAUGUUGGCCGGGCGACGGUUGUCCCGGUUUAAGCGUGUAGGCUGGUUUUCCAGGCAAAUCCGGAAAAUCAAGGCUGAGGCGUGAUGACGAGGCACUACGGUGCUGAAGCAACAAAUGCCCUGCUUCCAGGAAAAGCCUCUAAGCAUCAGGUAACAUCAAAUCGUACCCCAAACCGACACAGGUGGUCAGGUAGAGAAUACCAAGGCGCUUGAGAGAACUCGGGUGAAGGAACUAGGCAAAAUGGUGCCGUAACUUCGGGAGAAGGCACGCUGAUAUGUAGGUGAGGUCCCUCGCGGAUGGAGCUGAAAUCAGUCGAAGAUACCAGCUGGCUGCAACUGUUUAUUAAAAACACAGCACUGUGCAAACACGAAAGUGGACGUAUACGGUGUGACGCCUGCCCGGUGCCGGAAGGUUAAUUGAUGGGGUUAGCGGUAACGCGAAGCUCUUGAUCGAAGCCCCGGUAAACGGCGGCCGUAACUAUAACGGUCCUAAGGUAGCGAAAUUCCUUGUCGGGUAAGUUCCGACCUGCACGAAUGGCGUAAUGAUGGCCAGGCUGUCUCCACCCGAGACUCAGUGAAAUUGAACUCGCUGUGAAGAUGCAGUGUACCCGCGGCAAGACGGAAAGACCCCGUGAACCUUUACUAUAGCUUGACACUGAACAUUGAGCCUUGAUGUGUAGGAUAGGUGGGAGGCUUUGAAGUGUGGACGCCAGUCUGCAUGGAGCCGGCCUUGAAAUACCACCCUUUAAUGUUUGAUGUUCUAACGUUGGCCCCUGAUCGGGGUUGCGGACAGUGUCUGGUGGGUAGUUUGACUGGGGCGGUCUCCUCCUAAAGAGUAACGGAGGAGCACGAAGGUUGGCUAAUCCUGGUCGGACAUCAGGAGGUUAGUGCAAUGGCAUAAGCCAGCUUGACUGCGAGCGUGACGGCGCGAGCAGGUGCGAAAGCAGGUCAUAGUGAUCCGGUGGUUCUGAAUGGAAGGGCCAUCGCUCAACGGAUAAAAGGUACUCCGGGGAUAACAGGCUGAUACCGCCCAAGAGUUCAUAUCGACGGCGGUGUUUGGCACCUCGAUGUCGGCUCAUCACAUCCUGGGGCUGAAGUAGGUCCCAAGGGUAUGGCUGUUCGCCAUUUAAAGUGGUACGCGAGCUGGGUUUAGAACGUCGUGAGACAGUUCGGUCCCUAUCUGCCGUGGGCGCUGGAGAACUGAGGGGGGCUGCUCCUAGUACGAGAGGACCGGAGUGGACGCAUCACUGGUGUUCGGGUUGUCAUGCCAAUGGCACUGCCCGGUAGCUAAAUGCGGAAGAGAUAAGUGCUGAAAGCAUCUAAGCACGAAACUUGCCCCGAGAUGAGUUCUCCCUGACUCCUUGAGAGUCCUGAAGGAACGUUGAAGACGACGACGUUGAUAGGCCGGGUGUGUAAGCGCAGCGAUGCGUUGAGCUAACCGGUACUAAUGAACCGUGAGGCUUAACCUU
RNAcentral lists this ribosomal RNA (2908 nucleotides) under Escherichia coli. RNAcentral's name for it is "23S ribosomal RNA". It matches the Rfam family "Bacterial large subunit ribosomal RNA". The record is from RNAcentral. Lineage: Bacteria; Pseudomonadati; Pseudomonadota; Gammaproteobacteria; Enterobacterales; Enterobacteriaceae.